Molecule: non-coding RNA, 1110 nt
Organism: Paramuricea clavata
Lineage: Eukaryota; Metazoa; Cnidaria; Anthozoa; Malacalcyonacea; Plexauridae
Source: the annotation of a GenBank genome assembly
UGUGACUGGUGCCGGAGGUAUGCCUUGGCAGAAUGUCCAGAAUUGUCAUGGCUAUCUCCUUUUGCUGCUAAUAUUACUGAUUGUUACUCUCAUUGCUAUGCAGCUGCUAUGGCAAUACUUUGUGCCAUCAAAUCUAGUUACAGCCUUGGACAUCGACAACUGUUUUAGACGGCGGCUUGACAGGAAUGCAAUGUUAACAACAAUGAAAAGAUAUCUUUACUGGCUUGCAACUUCGCUUAUAAAUCUCAAAAGCAUAUUUUGUUUUGUCUCAAAACCAUGUGUUCACACGCGCGAUGUCCCGCGUGGCGAUGACGUAAAUAAUAUUAACUUACAUUUAUGCAUGCACGUUCAUAAUGAAGGUCCAAGUUCAAAACACCCCCGCCCGUGGCGUGAACCCGGGGGAAACGUCACUCUUCUUCGUGAUGGGCUUCCAGCAACGCUAACUUUCCAACUGGACGAACGUAGGUUCCGGCUUUCGUCACAAUUUCAGCUGAUCUCACGAGUCCGUCCGCACUUGCGAUCGGUGCACUGACCUCUCGGAGCGUUAUCCUCCACGAUAAGGACUAGAUCCCCUCGCCGAAGAUUUCGCUGUAUCGUACGCCAUUUGCUGCGUUUAAUCAAAUGCGGCACAUACUCCUGCUUCCACCGUCGCCAGAACUGGUCGGCUAGAAACUGUCUGUGUCUCCAUCGACGACGUAAAGACAUAUCUCGCUUGACGAAUUCGCCCGGUGUCAGAUUAGCACUUGCGCGUCCGUGGAGAAAAUGAUUUGGCGUUAGAACACUCACAUCUGUCGCUGACCUGCUGCUUCCUCCAUACACAAGUGGCCGAGAAUUUAGAAGAGACUCGACUUCCGCGACUACUGUAAGAAAAACUUCGUCCACCGUGACGACGUUACCCAUAAUCGCUUUCAUGGCUCUUUUUGUGGACUUAACUAAAGACUCCCAAGCUCCACCAAACCAGGGAGCAGCAGGUGGAAUGAAAAUCCAUUGUACGCCUCGUGCACUAAGUUCGUCGGCGACUCGUUUUUGAUCGAUUUCAAGAACGGAUUCUCGUAACUCACGCUCGGCGCCGACGAAAUUGGUACCGUUGUCGCUCAAAAUGCGGGCCGG